UUGACAUCGAAACAUAAUAGCAGAGCUUCGAUUUAUAGUAUAUCUCAAAUUUGUAGCGCUCAGUUCAAAUGAUUCAACGGUGACAGGCUAUGGAGGAGAACUAAUACGCACGCAGACAUGUUAUAAUUUAACGUGCAUCAACCAUUGGCACACCGCGCUUUUUUUUCUGGCUUUGGAUAACAAAAUAAUAAUAUUUUUCUCUAAGUGCGCUAUAGGCUACGUGAUAAAACAAUAACAAUUGCAUACUGUAGUACCGUAGAAGGGAAAAGACGGAAAUGAACAGGGAAUAGAAGUGUAGGACUUAACUGGUUUUAUCCGUGAAAAGUGACACCAAAAGGUCAUCGUAGCCUGCCUGUCUGUCAUCAGCCUUCUCUAAAAGUUUGAUGUUACUCUUUCAAGAUUAAGCUGCUGGUAAAACGAUCUCCAUCUUUGCCUAUUGUCGCUGGCGUUACAACUAUGGGAUGGAAAGAAACAAUUCAAAAGGAAAUGGGAACAGUGCGACCGCCGGUUGCGGUCAUAAUAAGCAGAUUGCCUUUCCUUUCCAUUAAACGUAAAGAUAUCUACUAGUGCUACAACUGCCACUAACAAUAUUAUGGUGAUGAUACACAUUUCUCUUACCAGAAAGCAGCACCAUGUUUACUGAAAUACCCUUUAUGUACAACCACGGUGAGGACUGUCUCCCGCAUCAAUUAGACAGCUCUCCGAAUUGCAGCAAAUAUUAGGCCCGAAGCAUUGGCCAGUUGAUCCAGGACCACACGGUGGACACUGUGAGUACUACACAAACGUUACUACGCCAGUUGUAUAACAAUGCAAUCGAAAGUAGUACGACAUAGGCCUAAAUUUUAGAGCGUCAGUCAAGAGUCAGAAUCAAAUAUUACGUAUAUUUGGAUGUUAGAUCGUACCGAAUGAGUAGCUGGUACGUUUGCUACCGUGAGUACAUUUGCUUUACGAUGAGAAGAAAUGAUCUGGGGCCGUAUUAAAAAUCCACUAACCUAUCAUUUUCGCAUCGUUAUUGAAAAAUUUGGUAGCAAUCAUGUUUGGCACGAAAUGAAUGACAUUUACUAUAACUUUACAGUUUGUUUUUCACUGCAUAGUAACUAGGGGAUGAUAUCGAUAUUGGUCUGAAAUUAUAACGUUAUUGUAGCUAGCAACACAUCUAUCGAACCAGAAUAAGAUCUGGUACAGGACAUCAUCCUUAUCAUUUCGACUGUUAUCUCCGUAUCUACUUUAAUACGGGCGGCCUCUAAAAGGAGACAUGAUUCGAACACAAAAUUCAUUUUCUUUAACAUUCAAUAGGAAAGCACUGCGUCGUUUUAAUGUUUAACACGCAAAAUGUUGCUGCCGCCGUUUUAUAAGGAAAUCAGUAUGUUACUAUACAAAGAUUUGGUGAUAAACCUCUUCGGCCUUUUAGUUCUUUUAGGUCAAUGUUUAAAGCUUCCAUGUCUGUUCGUCUGACUACACAUGGCCUAGAUGAGUAACACGGAGUCUCCACCUCGCGAAGCAAGAGUUGACUCCAAAACCCGAGUAGAUCUGCG
This is a long non-coding RNA of Varroa destructor (honeybee mite), 1535 nucleotides long. The record is from RefSeq and is a predicted model, not a curated record. Lineage: Eukaryota; Metazoa; Arthropoda; Arachnida; Mesostigmata; Varroidae.